Long non-coding RNA from Triticum aestivum (bread wheat), 1252 nucleotides. RefSeq lists it as uncharacterized. Lineage: Eukaryota; Viridiplantae; Streptophyta; Magnoliopsida; Poales; Poaceae. The transcript has 3 exons. The record is from RefSeq and is a predicted model, not a curated record.
CUCAUCCUUUCCCAGUUCUCCAAAAAAAAUUCUCCUUCUUUCCCAAACCAAACCUUAUCUGUUCUCCUCCAUUCCCCCAAAUUGACCAGACCACCAGUCUGUCACUCGCUUCUCACUGCUGCCAACCGCUGGUCGCCGGUCUUGCCAACUCUCGCCGCCCUCUGCAGUGAGGGCCCUCCAGGCCUCCACGCCAGGUGCCGGGUGUUGGCUGCUGGUGCUUCUCCUUCUCUCACUGCUUCUCCGCUCACGCUGCAUGCUGCCGUGCAGUGGACCGCUGAUGCUGCCGCCGGCUAGUAAACUAAACAGUGAACUGUUGUUGAAGCGUCGAAGGAGCAAGACUGCUGCAAGAGCAAAGGUAACAACCAUGGUCUAGGAGAGCAUAUCUGUAGUUAUUGGUUGUAGGCAUCUUUUGGUCAGUCCGGUGUGUUCUACAGUUGUGGCUAUGGAGCACUUUUGGCCAGUUCGGUGUAUUCUACAGUUGUGGUUAUGGAGCACUGGAUAACAGUAGUAAUUAUCCACAAGACCAGGUGAAACAAACUAAUCAGGUGCAUCUUCGUGAGCAAAGAAAAAGGCAGACCAAAAUCUAUAGGAUAUGAGGCAGGCAGGCAGGCAGGCACUUCCAUCCCUAGAGGGGGCGUUGAGGGUCGGCGACCAUCACCUUGACGCUCGGCCCACGGGACUGCCAGGCAGGCAGGCAGGCAGGCAGGCAGGCACUUCCCAUCCCUAGAGGGGGCGUGGAGGGUCGGCGACCAUCACCUUGACGCUCGGCCCACGGGACUGCCAGGCAGGCAGGCAGGCAGGCAGGCAGGACAAACAAAAAUAAUACAUAGGGCACAACAAUGACAAGGCAUUUCUAGAUGCGAAAAUUGUAGUGCAAUUAGAUGAAAAAAUAUGAGCCGGACAUGAACACUCGGUAGGCUAAUUAACCAGAGGAAAGAAACGGCCACGACCUAAACUUUGAAUCUCACUUACGUCUCUAUUCCUCGCCCUUCUGCUACCUCACAUCCCAAUCCUUUUUCCCUUCCCUCUGUAUCUUGCCACACGACCAUGACGGAUUGCGGUUGUUCUUGGCCAAUCUCUACAAAAAUCAAUAAGCAGAGAAGCUGAACCAAUCUCUACAAAAACCAAAAGAAAAAAAUGUGCACACACAAGCACAUAUCAGCCAGUUCUAGCAUGCAUCCAUCCAUCAAAGCAUUAAGCCAUCAGCCAUCCAUUAGAGAAGUGAAAAAAGAAAGGAUUCAAACUUACACAU